CUGGAGAAGAUUCACCUGUGAAUGGGGCUGAAUAAUCAUUUGGACAUAUUAUAUCUAUCAGGAGAAGAUUUCAAAUUGCUUUACAAACAGCAAGAAAGUUUUCCUAGGCUUACUUGAAACCUGACUGAACUCCUAACAUCCACAGCAUCCUGAAGCAAGGAGAUCUACAGCUUAAUCACACAAUCUCC
RNAcentral lists this long non-coding RNA (188 nucleotides) under Junco hyemalis (dark-eyed junco). RNAcentral describes it as "lncRNA (ENSJHYG00000018296.1)". The record is from RNAcentral. Lineage: Eukaryota; Metazoa; Chordata; Aves; Passeriformes; Passerellidae.